This is a long non-coding RNA of Brassica oleracea var. oleracea, 1121 nucleotides long. RefSeq lists it as uncharacterized. The transcript is spliced from 3 exons. The record is from RefSeq and is a predicted model, not a curated record. NCBI's taxonomy places the organism in Eukaryota, Viridiplantae, Streptophyta, Magnoliopsida, Brassicales, Brassicaceae.
UUAUUCACAUUUUGACUCAUAUCUCCCUCUUCGCUUUCACUGAUCCUUUCGCUGCUGUUGCUUGCGAUCCGUCUCAGAGGUCACAACGCGCUGACUAAUUUUCUGACUCCUUCGCCGGUUAUCGGAUGCGAUUCGGGGAGCCAGAGCCUCUGUUCUCCGACGUAUGUUCUUCGAUUCAACGGAACCGAUCGAUCUUGCGGCGGAGGUGAAGCCGAACGUGGCAGAGAGUUUGUUCCUCCGGAGCCGUUGUUUAUGGAUGAGAUCGAAAUCCAUAAACCGUUUCCGAACCGGCAAGCAUUGAACCUGCGUUUACAAGCUUUGGUGGGCCUCCGUAGGAUACUAAGGGUGUUGAAGCGUGACACACAUUGCACGAUAUGAAAAAUCCAUUUGUGGCAGAAAACUAGAAGAAGGAAACACAGACUUUUUCAGGCUUAUUACGUAAGGUUGAAGCUGCUGAAGCAAAUAUAGUUUGUUUUAAUCAUUUGCUUGAUCACCAGUACCAUCUCAUGAACUAUCCUCCAAAGAUUCCUCUCGCACCUAUGCCAAACGGAAUACAUCAUCCCAUGCCACCUGUUGGUAUGCAAAUUGGAUAUCCAGUACUACAACAUCCUCAAAUGCAUGUUCAAGGCCACCAUCCCCAUAUUGCUGCUGCAACGGCUAUGUCAAGCUGCCAUGUUGUUGUUAACGGAGUCCCUGCACCUCCCCAUCUCCAGCCAUUCAUUGAGGAUGAACUCAACCAAUGAGUAAGAACCAACAACUAGAUCAUUUAUACAGUUGAUGUCUUUACUUUAAAAAACAAUCUCUCUUUGUUAAUCUUUGUAUGGUGGCAACUGUGGAAGAUGCAACUCCUCCUCAUGUGGUUCCACCAAGCAGUGGCGAGAUGGCAGUGAGUCCUGCUUCUGUGGCAUCAAGUGGACACUUUCCAUUUGUUGAUUCAGAGUUCAGACAUACAUGGUAAUGGACGUUUCAGUGCUUGAUUCUGAGUUCACGGCUGAUGGAGGAGCUGGGAGUUCUAGAAAUGCGUCAUUUCAUCCGAUUCCAUGGAAUUUUAGCCUUUCUGAUCUCAAUUGUAUAUCCUUUUUUUUUUUACAUUUAAAGGAAAGAUUUUCACAUGUGGUGUU